RNAcentral lists this ribosomal RNA (322 nucleotides) under uncultured bacterium. Its description in RNAcentral is "bacterial SSU rRNA". It matches the Rfam family "Bacterial small subunit ribosomal RNA", at positions 29 to 372 of the family's 1533-position model. The record is from RNAcentral.
AACGAACGCUGGCGGCAUGCCUAACACAUGCAAGUCGAACGGGAUCCUAGCUUGCUAGGUGAGAGUGGCGGACGGGUGAGUAACACGUGGGAAUCUGCCUUUUGGUUCGGGAUAACCGCGGGAAACUGCGGCUAAUACCGAAUGCCCUGAGAGAGGAAGAUUUAUCGCCAGAAGAGGAGCCCGACGUCCGAUUAGGUAGUUGGUGGGGUAAAGCCUACCAAGCCGACGAUCGGUAGCUGGUCUGAGAGGAUGAUCAGCCACACUGGGACUGAGAUACGGCCCAGACUCCUACGGGAGGCAGCAGUGGGGAAUAUUGGACAAU